UACAGGGGGGGCAAGCGUUGUUCGGAAUUACUGGGCGUAAAGGGCGCGUAGGCGGCCUGCUAAGUCGAACGUGAAAUCCCCAAGCUUAACUUGGGAACUGCAUCCGAUACUGGAUGGCUUGAAUCCGGGAGAGGGAUGCAGAAUUCCAGGUGUAGCGGUGAAAUGCGUAGAUAUCUGGAGGAACACCGGUGGCGAAGGCGGCAUCCUGGACCAACACUGACACUGAGGAGCGAAAGCCAGGGGAGCAAACGGG
This 253-nucleotide ribosomal RNA is filed under the name uncultured bacterium. RNAcentral describes it as "partial 16S ribosomal RNA". It matches the Rfam family "Bacterial small subunit ribosomal RNA", at positions 524 to 776 of the family's 1533-position model. The record is from RNAcentral.